AAGAUAUAAUAACUAAGGAUAAGCUUCUAACUUAAUCCUUUAGCAGUGAAAAUCUGUUAAUAUCUUU
This 67-nucleotide transfer RNA is filed under the name Onthophagus nitidior. RNAcentral's name for it is "tRNA-Ser". The record is from RNAcentral. Lineage: Eukaryota; Metazoa; Arthropoda; Insecta; Coleoptera; Scarabaeidae.